UACGUAGGGGGCUAGCGUUGUCCGGAAUCAUUGGGCGUAAAGAGCGUGUAGGCGGUCCGGUAAGUCCGCUGUGAAAGUCGGGGGCUCAACCCUCGAAUGCCGGUGGAUACUGUCGGGCUAGAGUGCGGAAGAGGCGAGUGGAAUUCCUGGUGUAGCGGUGAAAUGCGCAGAUAUCAGGAGGAACACCGGUGGCGAAGGCGGUUCUCUGGGCCUUACCUGACGCUGAGGAGCGAAAGCCAGGGGAGCGAACGGG
RNAcentral lists this ribosomal RNA (253 nucleotides) under uncultured bacterium. RNAcentral's name for it is "partial 16S ribosomal RNA". It matches the Rfam family "Bacterial small subunit ribosomal RNA", at positions 524 to 776 of the family's 1533-position model. The record is from RNAcentral.